RNAcentral lists this ribosomal RNA (254 nucleotides) under uncultured bacterium. RNAcentral's name for it is "partial 16S ribosomal RNA". It matches the Rfam family "Bacterial small subunit ribosomal RNA", at positions 524 to 776 of the family's 1533-position model. The record is from RNAcentral.
GACAGAGGGUGCAAACGUUGUUCGGAAUUACUGGGCGUAAAGCGCGUGUAGGCGGCUUUGCAAGUCGGGUGUGAAAUCCCUCAGCUCAACUGAGGAAGUGCGCCCGAAACUGCUUAGCUUGAGUGCCGGAGAGGAUGGCGGAAUUCCCCAAGUAGAGGUGAAAUUCGUAGAUAUUGGGAAGAACACCGGUGGCGAAGGCGGCGACCUGGUCCUUUUACUGACGCUGAGGCGCGAAAGCGUGGGGAGCAAACAGG